Molecule: non-coding RNA, 23 nt
Filed under: Cricetulus griseus (Chinese hamster)
Lineage: Eukaryota; Metazoa; Chordata; Mammalia; Rodentia; Cricetidae
Source: RNAcentral
GAAAAUCUAAGGGCGUAGUUUAG